This 517-nucleotide long non-coding RNA is filed under the name Androctonus crassicauda. Lineage: Eukaryota; Metazoa; Arthropoda; Arachnida; Scorpiones; Buthidae. The record is from RNAcentral.
GUCUAUUCGAAGACAUCGCAUUAUGUCGUCAAGGUUAUUUAAAUCAACCCUGUUAAACUCAUUAAAGUGUUGCGUAAUAUGUUACAAUCAGUUACUUAACAUCGAACCAUCUUCUAGAAAAGAGAAUUUAAAUGGCAAGUUACGGAAAAAAAUUGCUAUUCUAGCAUCUCAAAUGCAUUCUUUAAGAACGAACUUUUCCUUAAUUGAUGACACAAUUUUCGGGUCGGCAUCUUAUUGUCAACGAGUAAUCAUUUGUGGUGUCGCUUGUCCUCAUCAGUUGAGCUUAACACUACAUCCUGUGUCCUCGUCUGUUUCUUAACGAGAUUCGUAGUCUUUCUUAUUAUUAUCAUAUAAACGACUUACGUAAGACGUUCCUGUCUAUACAUAACACUUUUCGUGUUUCGUAAUUAAAACUCACUAAAUGUUAAAAAAAAUUUACUAAAAAAACAAAAAUGUAGCGUUAAACUUUGUUUUGUAUAAUAUUUGUAUGUAAAAUAAGUUAAUACUUUUAUGCCAC